This 519-nucleotide ribosomal RNA is filed under the name uncultured delta proteobacterium. RNAcentral's name for it is "bacterial SSU rRNA". It matches the Rfam family "Bacterial small subunit ribosomal RNA", at positions 20 to 523 of the family's 1533-position model. The record is from RNAcentral. Lineage: Bacteria; Deltaproteobacteria.
UGGCUCAGAGCGAACGUUAGCGCGGGCCUAACACAUGCAAGUCGAACGGGCAGUAGCAAUACUGUCAGUGGCGCACGGGUGAGUAACGCGUAGAUAAUCUACCUUCCGAGCGGGGGAUAACGUUCCGAAAGGAACGCUAAUACCGCAUAAGACCACGGGGUCCUCGGGCCUUGCGGGAAAAGGUGGCCUCUCCUUGGAAGCUAUCACUGGAAGAUGAGUCUGCGUCCCAUCAGCUAGUUGGUGAGGUAAUGGCUCACCAAGGCGAAGACGGGUAGCUGGUCUGAGAGGAUGAUCAGCCACACUGGUACUGGAACACGGACCAGACUCCUACGGGAGGCAGCAGUGGGGAAUAUUGGGCAAUGGGCGAAAGCCUGACCCAGCCACGCCGCGUGAGUGAUGAAGGCCUUCGGGUUGUAAAGCUCUGUGGGAAGGGGCGAAAAACCGCAAAGCGAAUAGCGAGCGGGUUGACGGUACCUUCUUAGCAAGCACCGGCUAACUCUGUGCCAGCAGCCGCGGUAA